GUAUAUAGCUCAGUGAUAGAGCCAUUGCCUAGCACGCAUGAGGUCCUGGGUUCAAUCCCUAGUACUGCA
This 69-nucleotide transfer RNA is filed under the name Marmota monax (woodchuck). Its description in RNAcentral is "tRNA.Ala". The stretch from base 4 to 64 matches the Rfam family "tRNA", at positions 6 to 65 of the family's 71-position model. From Rfam's summary of the family: Transfer RNA (tRNA) molecules are approximately 80 nucleotides in length. Their secondary structure includes four short double-helical elements and three loops (D, anti-codon, and T loops). Lineage: Eukaryota; Metazoa; Chordata; Mammalia; Rodentia; Sciuridae. The record is from RNAcentral.